CCUACGGGUGGCAGCAGUGGGGAAUAUUGGGCAAUGGGCGCAAGCCUGACCCAGCAACGCCGCGUGAAGGAAGAAGGCUUUCGGGUUGUAAACUUCUUUUGUCAGGGACGAAGCAAGUGACGGUACCGGACGAAUAAGCCACGGCUAACUACGGGCCAGCAGCCGCGGUAAGACGGAGGUGGCAAGCGUUAUCCGGAUUUACUGGGUGUAAAGGGCGUGUAGGCGGGACUGCAAGUCAGAUGUGCAAACCAGGGGCUCCACCUGUGGCCUGCCUUGGAAACUGUAGUUCUUGAGUACUGGAGAGGCAGACGGAAUUCCUAGUGUAGCGGUGAACUGCGUAGAUAUUAGGCGGAACACCAGUGGCGAAGGCGGUCUGCUGGACCGCAACUGACGCUGAGGCGCGACAGCGUGGGGAGCAAACAGGAUUAGAUACCCCAGUAGUC
RNAcentral lists this ribosomal RNA (443 nucleotides) under uncultured bacterium. RNAcentral's name for it is "partial 16S ribosomal RNA". It matches the Rfam family "Bacterial small subunit ribosomal RNA", at positions 338 to 795 of the family's 1533-position model. The record is from RNAcentral.